Onthophagus taurus is the source of this 458-nucleotide non-coding RNA. The record is from RefSeq and is a predicted model, not a curated record. Lineage: Eukaryota; Metazoa; Arthropoda; Insecta; Coleoptera; Scarabaeidae.
UUGUAGCUGCAGAGGUGUUACGUUUUGGAAUGGUGACAAGGGUUAUUUGGCCAGAAAAGUUUCAAAAGGAGUUAAUUACAGCUGUAAUUGAAAUUUCUACGAAUUCGUUACAGUUUAAACAAAUUACAAAGAGACAGUUAAGAAACAGGAUGAAAAAUCAAAUUCAAGAGUCGUUAGCUGGCGAAGAAGACAUUUUAUUGGAAACGUGGAUAAGUGCGGAGUGUCAAAAGAAUUUUGAAAAUUAUGUUUAGAUUAAGAUCAGUUUUUUGUGCAUUUGUAUUGCCCGUUUUAUUGGUACAAAGUCAAUUUUUUGUUUUUAUUUUUAGUUAUAUUCCCUUACAGUUGAUUUUUUGACUGUAAUCUAAUGUCUUUAGGUUAUACUUUACGUUUGUUUCAUACACCUCAUUUCAAGAGAACAAAUGAAUAUAAAAUGAAACAAUAAAAUAUAAUGGAGUGUA